This 253-nucleotide ribosomal RNA is filed under the name uncultured bacterium. RNAcentral describes it as "partial 16S ribosomal RNA". It matches the Rfam family "Bacterial small subunit ribosomal RNA", at positions 524 to 776 of the family's 1533-position model. The record is from RNAcentral.
UACGGGGGGGGCAAGCGUUGUUCGGAAUUACUGGGCGUAAAGGGCUCGUAGGCGGCCAACUAAGUCCGACGUGAAAUCCCCAGGCUUAACCUGGGAACUGCGUCGGAUACUGGAUGGCUUGAAUCCGGGAGAGGGAUGCGGAAUUCCAGGUGUAGCGGUGAAAUGCGUAGAGAUCAGGAAGAACAUCGGUGGCGAAGGCGCUCUGCUGGACCAUAACUGACACUCAGGGACGAAAGCUAGGGGAGCGAAUGGG